AUUGAACGCUGGCGGCAGGCUUAACACAUGCAAGUCGAGCGAGCGGCGGACGGGUGAGUAAUGUCUGGGAAACUGCCUGAUGGAGGGGGAUAACUACUGGAAACGGUCGCUAAUACCGCAUACCUUCCUAUGUGCCCAGAUGGUUUUAGCUUGUCGGUGGGGUAAUGGCUCACCUGGGCGACGAUCCCGAGCUGGGCUGAGAGGAUGACCAGCCACACUGGAAAUGAGAGAAGGGACAGACUCCUACGGGAGGCAGCAGUGGGGAAUAUUGGACAAUGGGCGCAAGGCUGAUGCAGCCAUGCCGGGUGUGUGAAGAGGGCCUUCGGGUUGUAAAGCACUUUCAGCGAGGAGGCGGUACUCGCAGAAGAAGCACCGGCUAACUCCGUGCCAGCAGCCGCGGUAAUAC
RNAcentral lists this ribosomal RNA (406 nucleotides) under uncultured bacterium. Its description in RNAcentral is "partial 16S ribosomal RNA". It matches the Rfam family "Bacterial small subunit ribosomal RNA", at positions 30 to 526 of the family's 1533-position model. The record is from RNAcentral.